AACCCCUGUGAACAUACCACUUGUUGCCUCGGCGGAUCAGCCCGCUCCCGGUAAAACGGGACGGCCCGCCAGAGGACCCCUAAACUCUGUUUCUAUAUGUAACUUCUGAGUAAAACCAUAAAUAAAUCAAAACUUUCAACAACGGAUCUCUUGGUUCUGGCAUCGAUGAAGAACGCAGCAAAAUGCGAUAAGUAAUGUGAAUUGCAGAAUUCAGUGAAUCAUCGAAUCUUUGAACGCACAUUGCGCCCGCCAGUAUUCUGGCGGGCAUGCCUGUUCGAGCGUCAUUUCAACCCUCAAGCCCUCGGGUUUGGUGUUGGGGAUCGGCGAGCCCUUGCGGCAAGCCGGCCCCGAAAUCUAGUGGCGGUCUCGCUGCAGCCUCCAUUGCGUAGUAGUAAAACCCUCGCAACUGGAACGCGGCGCGGCCAAGCCGUUAAACCCCCAACUUCUGAAUGUUGACCUCGGAUCAGGUAG
Molecule: ribosomal RNA, 471 nt
Filed under: Fusarium oxysporum
Lineage: Eukaryota; Fungi; Ascomycota; Sordariomycetes; Hypocreales; Nectriaceae
Description: eukaryotic LSU rRNA
Rfam family: 5.8S ribosomal RNA (bases 131-284)
Source: RNAcentral